RNAcentral lists this ribosomal RNA (229 nucleotides) under uncultured bacterium. RNAcentral's name for it is "partial 16S ribosomal RNA". It matches the Rfam family "Bacterial small subunit ribosomal RNA", at positions 568 to 796 of the family's 1533-position model. The record is from RNAcentral.
UCCGUAGGUGGAUAAUUAAGUCAGGGGUGAAAGUCUGCAGCUCAACUGUAGAAUUGCCCUUGAUACUGGUUGUCUUGAGUCAUUAUGAAGUAGUUAGAAUAUGUAGUGUAGCGGUGAAAUGCAUAGAUAUUACACAGAACACCAAUUGCGAAGGCAGAUUACUAAUAAUAUACUGACACUGAUGGACGAAAGCGUGGGGAGCGAACAGGAUUAGAUACCCUGGUAGUCC